CAGCCGUAAACAAUGUGCGUUAGGUGUGUCGGUAACCACGCGUUACUGAUGCGCCGAAGAGAAAUCGUGGAACGCACCACCUGGGAAGUACGGUCGCAAGGCUGAAACUUAAAGGAAUUGGCGGGGGAGCACCACAACAGGUGGAGCCUGCGGUUUAAUUGGAUUCAACGCCGGACAUCUCACCGGAUAAGACAGCUGAAUGAUUGUCAAUCUGAAGGUUUACAUGACUAGCUGAGAGGUGGUGCAUGGCGUCAGUGACU
This 260-nucleotide ribosomal RNA is filed under the name uncultured archaeon. RNAcentral describes it as "partial 16S ribosomal RNA". It matches the Rfam family "Archaeal small subunit ribosomal RNA", at positions 748 to 1008 of the family's 1478-position model. The record is from RNAcentral.